Small nucleolar RNA from Phodopus roborovskii (desert hamster), 125 nucleotides. The record is from RefSeq and is a predicted model, not a curated record. NCBI's taxonomy places the organism in Eukaryota, Metazoa, Chordata, Mammalia, Rodentia, Cricetidae.
GAGCACUGUUCCUAACCUGUCAACCUUGCUGUGGUUAGUAGGUUCCGUUCUAGUGCUACAGGAUUCCCAAUGACGUAUGACUGACUGGCUAGCUGGGCUUUCAGUCUCAGGUCUUGGAGACACAC